This 253-nucleotide ribosomal RNA is filed under the name uncultured bacterium. RNAcentral describes it as "partial 16S ribosomal RNA". It matches the Rfam family "Bacterial small subunit ribosomal RNA", at positions 524 to 776 of the family's 1533-position model. The record is from RNAcentral.
UACGUAGGUGGCGAGCGUUGUCCGGAUUUACUGGGCGUAAAGAGCGCGCAGGCGGUCGUACAAGUCGCGUGUGAAAGCCCCCGGCUCAACUGGGGAGGGUCACGCGAUACUGUUCGACUCGAAGGCAGGAGAGGGUAGUGGAAUUCCCGGUGUAGUGGUGGAAUGCGUAGAUAUCGGGAGGAACACCAGUGGCGAAGGCGACUACCUGGCCUGUUCUUGACGCUGAGGCGCGAAAGCUAGGGUAGCAAACGGG